Molecule: ribosomal RNA, 497 nt
Filed under: uncultured bacterium
Lineage: Bacteria
Description: partial 16S ribosomal RNA
Rfam family: Bacterial small subunit ribosomal RNA
Source: RNAcentral
GAUGAACGCUGGCGGCGUGCCUAAUACAUGCAAGUCGAGCGAACAGAUGAGGAGCUUGCUCCUCUGACGUUAGCGGCGGACGGGUGAGUAACACGUGGAUAACCUACCUAUAAGACUGGGAUAACUUCGGGAAACCGGAGCUAAUACCGGAUAAUAUAUUGAACCGCAUGGUUCAAUAGUGAAAGUCGGUUUUGCUGUCACUUAUAGAUGGAUCCGCGCCGCAUUAGCUAGUUGGUAAGGUAACGGCUUACCAAGGCAACGAUGCGUAGCCGACCUGAGAGGGGGAUCGGCCACACUGGAACUGAGACACGGUCCAUACUCCUACGGGAGGCAGCAGUAGGGUAUCUUCCGCAAUGGGCGAAAGCCUGACGGAGCGACGCCGCGUGAGUGAUAGAGGUCUUCGGAUCGUAAAACUCUGUUAUUAGGGAAGAACAAAUGUGUAAGGAACUAUGCACGUCUUGACGGUACCUAAUCAGAAAGCCACGGCUAACUACGUG